Non-coding RNA from Elaeis guineensis (African oil palm), 2845 nucleotides. The record is from RefSeq and is a predicted model, not a curated record. NCBI's taxonomy places the organism in Eukaryota, Viridiplantae, Streptophyta, Magnoliopsida, Arecales, Arecaceae.
CACAAUGAUACCGAUGGCCUAAAUCAAAGCUACAUGGGAGGGUUUGGCUUAUGCCAUUUUCAUCUUAUGGGCAGACAACAGAAUGCGGGGGUUCCAAACAAUCAUCUCAUGGAUCAAAACUGGGACCAAAUAUCAGGACAACUCAUCCGCAGUUGGUGGACGGUUGGAGACUCACAUCGAAUAUCACCUUUAGAUAGAGGCAAAUAGCACCGCUGACUGGGUGGCUACUUAUGCGGCUUACCAUAGUGGCACUGUUUUAUGGGAGGCUACUUCAAUUUUACCUGGAUGCCUCAGGGACAUUGUAGGGGCUUAUGUGAGGGGCUGUGUAUAUACAAGGGCUUUAUAAAGUAGGCAUUACACCCCAAAAAAAAUGAUAAUUCUAUAUUAUAGAAUUUUCUGCUUUAAACACCAUUUGAAUAAAUAAAUACAUAAUAAGACAAACUGAUGAUGACACCCACCGGUGCUUUUUUUUCAAUCUCACGUGCAUCCGAGGAUCACACAACGUGCCAAAAGAUGAGAUAUUACACAGAUAAUGGAUGUGAAAUCAUCUUCUAACAUAGAUGCUACAAUGAAAUUCAAUCUCCUAAUGCCUUGGAACUUGCAGCCAAUAAAAUGAUUACGAUUUAUAUUUAAUUUCAUCAUCGUAAUAGCAUGUAUCAAUAUUUCAUUUAUGCAUUAAUUACCAAUUCUGCUUAUAUAAUUGACAUAGCAUCAUUUGCUCAAAUUUAUUUUUGCAUGACCUUAUUUUAUGCCAUAACAUCCCCCUUGGCACAGACCAAAUCUGCAGGAGACUGAAACAGCGGAAAGAUGCCAACCAGGUUAGUUAAAGAGGUAAUUGGCUUGGAGGGGAUUUGAACUCAAUUACCAGCAAACUUGGCUUUGGUACCAUGUUAGCAACCAACACACCCCAAAAACUGAAGCGGCUGUAGGACGACCCAAAAAUGUGCAUCAGGCUUAACAUAUUUCAGAUUAACAAGCAUCAAGCAACUUCACUCAAUCCAAGUCAUGCUCCGGCUCCUGAACCCACUUUCUGGUGCUUUUCCAAGCAACAAUUUACUCAAGUACCUUCAACUGCUUUUACAGUUUUUAUCCCAUCGAUCCAAGUCCCAUUGCAAUAUUUGUUUUAUUGGUUUUGAAUCUCUGCAUGAUGCAUUGUGAUGCAACAGCCAAAUGAAUGGUAUCUUUUUUUCUUUUUUCUUUUUUUUUGCUAUAACAGGCACUUUAUACAACUCUAGUAUGAAUACAUCCAAAAAAGUCAAAAAAUAAAAUGUCUCGGAAUGCUCCCGGACCAGAGAACAAUAUCUUUUUUAUUGUCUCAGAAUUUCCAAUAUUCUUGAUGCUCUCGCAUCUUAAUUUUUGGAGAAGUUGACCUCCCCACUCCCAUACCCUCUUCAAACUUGGGAAAGAAGAAGUUCAUGCUGUGAGAUCUUUGUUACAUGGUUCCCAUGAACCUUGCUUUUGUAUCAAAAGUGCAAUCCAUUAGUCAAUGUGCCUACUUAAAUUAUAUUGUUGGCUGUAACACCCUGAACCAAGAUAGCCAAUGCCUAAGCUGAGUUACUAAACCUCGGGGGACCUAAGAAAUCUAAUCUUUCUUUAACAUGCAUUGCACGACAUUUCAUUGCAUAACAUGACAUGAACAUACAUUAAACAUUUAAUUAGACUAAUGAUAAUGAGGUAUGGUCCACAUAUGAUUGUGAUUGAAGAAUGAGAUGAAAUGUGAGUAGUAUUAGUAGAAAUGAAAGUGAAUUAGUGAUUAGUAUAUGAGCAUAAUACAAAGUGGAUUAAAGGAAAGACAUUACAAGGUAUGCACAGCAAAAUGUUGGUGAGAAUUCAUGUGGCCUAGUGUUGGGAUGUCAUGCCAUAACCAAGAAGUGGAGUGCAGGGAAUUCACAUGAAAGUGCAUGUGUGCAUGAGUGACAAUUUUGCAAAAUUGUGUUAGUAGGAAGGGCAAAAUGGUCAAGGCACCAAAGUUGCCACAUGUCCACACCUUUCCUCACCUCUUCCUUUCUAUUUUUGGUGUCUUCUCCUCCUUGUGCCAUGCAGCAGCUUGCAGCCACCCAUCACCCAAAACAGCCCCCCACCUUCAUUCAUUCCUUCUUCUCCUUUCAUUUGUUUCAUUCUUACACUUAGAAUAAAAGAGAGAAAGAAAGAGAGACUAAGACUAAGAGAGAAAUCAGAAAGAAAGAGAAUUUCAAGUCCUAAACUAAGAGAACAAAGCUUAGAACACUUGGUUAAUACAAUUGAAGUGAAGUUGGAAGAUUGGAGGAGAGUACUGCCGGUCUUUGGAGAAGGCAGCAUACUAUUUUGUGGUUGUUCUUGCAUUUUCGGCAAAAGGGGCUGCCUAUGGGGAUGAUCAAUCUAUAGUGUGAGCCACCCGUGGUAGUACUACAAGAAUCAAAAGCCCAGUGGGGAAGCACCAAUGCUACGCGUCGAGGCUGCCCAUGGGAGUGUGCUCUAUGGUGUGAACCGCCCGUAGCCAAAAUAGUGCCCAAUGGAUCAGAUAAUCAGAGAAGCGAAGUCUACGUGCACAUAUGACCAGCAAAGAAGAGCCAGAAACCCUUUUUGCUUCCUUGACUAGCUCGAUAAGAAAUAAUUUUAGCUAGUGCUUGGUAUAAGCAGGCUCAACGGGUGUACGUGGUGUUUGUUUUCCAGAGAGAUUUGAGGUGUACUAGAGCGUGCUAGUGAAUCGCACUACAUCAUCAACAUUCAGCACUAGUUGAGGUUGGGCCACUUUAGCUUAGAAAGGUGCUUUUGGAAUUGUCUAUAUGCAUAGAGUAUUGUGUGUACAUUGUGAAACUUAAUGUAUAGUACUUUGAAGUUGAAUAUAAGAUGUUUUGAAUGAUAU